Sapajus apella (tufted capuchin) is the source of this 136-nucleotide long non-coding RNA. RefSeq lists it as uncharacterized. The record is from RefSeq and is a predicted model, not a curated record. Lineage: Eukaryota; Metazoa; Chordata; Mammalia; Primates; Cebidae. The transcript is spliced from 3 exons.
UUAUCACACCUAGCUUUUGAUUUAAAGUCAGAGAUGUAUAGCUCUUCCUUUCACUUGAACACAUAUUGGCCAUUAUAGGGUCAAUAACUGGCCUGAUUUCAAUAUUGUGUCAACAGAGGCUGAGGGGAGGGAAAGA